CACGCGGCUCGAGCGUCACUUCCGGCGCGAGGGCCGGGCCGGCCGGCCGGGGAGUGCGGGUCUGUUCUGCGCGCGCUGCCAGCCGAGGCUCCUGCCGCCGUGACCCGCGCUCCGCCCGCCGCCGGGCUGAGGCAGGGUCUCUCUGUGUAAUAGCUGUGGCUGUCCCAGAACUCACUUGUAGAGCAGGCUGGCCGUGAACUCAUUUAGCUUCUCCUGCCUCUGCCUCCUGAGUGCCGGGAUUAAAGGCACGCACCACCACCAGUGGCUUCACGCUUCACCUUCUUAAUCUCACUUGUGGCCUGUGUGUCAGCAGGGACCCUGAUAGCUAAUGUCAGAAGAAAGUGACUCUCUGAGAACCAGCCCCUCUGUGGCCUCACUCUCCGAAAAUGAGCUGCCACUGCCUCCACCGGACCCUCCCGGCUACGUGUGCUCCCUGACAGAAGACUUGGUCACCAAAGCCAGGGAAGAGCUGCAGGAGAAGCCCGAGUGGAGGCUGCGGGAUGUGCAGGCCCUCCGAGACAUGGUGCGGAAGGAGUACCCAUACCUGAGCACGUCGCUGGACGAUGCCUUCCUGUUGCGCUUUCUGAGGGCCCGAAAGUUUGAUUAUGACCGGGCCCUGCAGCUGCUGGUCAACUACCACGGCUGCAGGCGGAGCUGGCCAGAGGUCUUCAGCAACCUGAGGCCGUCAGCCCUGAAAGACGUUCUCAACUCUGGAUUCCUUACAGUGCUGCCCCACACGGACCCCAGGGGCUGCCAUGUCCUCUGCAUCCGACCAGACAGAUGGAUACCAAGCAACUACCCAAUUACCGAGAACAUCCGAGCCGUAUACUUGACAUUAGAAAAACUCAUUCAGUCCGAGGAGACCCAGGUGAACGGGAUUGUUAUCCUUGCCGACUACAAGGGAGUGAGCUUAUCAAAAGCAUCUCAUUUUGGGCCUUUUAUAGCCAAAAAGGUGAUUGGCAUCCUUCAGGAUGGCUUCCCCAUUCGGAUAAAAGCAGUUCACAUAGUGAACGAACCUCGGAUAUUUAAGGGCAUUUUCGCCAUCAUAAAACCAUUUCUGAAGGAGAAAAUUGCUAACAGGGAACUAAUUUGGAAAGCUUAUGGUACAGAGAAACAGCCAUCCUUUCUCUAGCGGGCAGAUGGAACUGGUCAGAAUACAUUGUCAGUAGGGAGAACAGGACCAGGAUGUUGUGUUUACAAUGGAGCCUCAUGUAGCCCAGGAUGAAGUUCUUCCUCCAUGGGUCUGACCUGAACUCUCUCCACACAAACCUGCCAAGGAAUAUCCUCCCCAAGGAGUAUGGGGGCACAGCUGGGGAGCUGGACACUGCCUCCUGGAACGCCGUGCUGCUGGCCUCAGAGGAGGAUUUUGUGAAAGAGUUCUGCCAGCCCAUGCCUGCCUGCGACAACCUCCUGGGCCAGCCCCUGCUACCUGAGGGGCUGAUCUCAGAUGCGCAGUGUGAUGACUCCAUGCGAGCCAUGAAGUCCCAGCUCUACUCCUGCUAUUAGCCCUCUUUCGGGAGAGUACCGUGUGUGAUUCCUUCCUUCCUUCCUUAGAAAUGCACAGGCUGAGAUGCCAGGACCUCCGUCUUGCUCCAUCCCUCUGCAACAGCAUGGAGCUGCCUGCAGAGAUUUAAGGCACGCCCAUCACAGGCAGACCUUUGACUGAGUUAUUCCAGGGAAGACAUGGAAAUUGCCCUGGUGUACUCUUAAGUUUGCAGCUGUUACUCUGGAAGCUGUAUCUGUUUCUUAUGCAUCUUGGAAAGAACUAAGGUCAAAGUCACUCUGAAGUGACCAGGAGAAGACAACUUGACUGAUCACAACUCUGAAACAAUCACCAAUCCUUAGAGGUGGCCACACGUAAGACUUUUGAGUCUCUUUCCCAUAAACCCUAGGUGUUGACCUCUUGCUCAUCAGCAAAGUUCAAGGUUCAGGCCCCAGUUGUCAUUGUUGGGCCUGGGAAGCACUAACUGAGUGGUAGAAACCCCAGGCCCAGGUAGUACUUAAGAUCAAAUUUGGAAGCCAAAGGCUUCAAAGCAUCCCUGGGAGUCCAGGGUUAAAUCUUGCAAUAGAAACUUUUCCCAACCCCAUAAAGCCUUAGCUCUGGUUCUCCAUGGAAUCAUGUAGGUCAGCAUAAAAUACUGGAUUCUAGGACUGUGUGGCUAAAAGCAUUUGGACCAGGAGUCAGGUCGUAUGACUGACAAGACACGGGCUUCAGCUUGUCAUCUCUCAGUGAGGCUACAUGGAAUGAGGGUCUUUGUGGCUGCUGAAGUUGUUAGGCUUCUGCUUGGGAAGACAUUACCUAGAGGUGGUUGGAUCUUUUUGUUUUGUUUUGUUGUAGUAUGAAUACAGCCUUAUGUAAAGGAACAGCACCAUCUGGCCCUCCCUUUAAAGAAACUAGUAUGUUCCUGGGAGUUGGUGGAGACCAACUGCCUUUGCAGAAUAAUGGGUAAACUUGAAAGGGAUGGCUUUGGUGAGGCCGACCAGAUCUCAUACAAACUCCUUCCACACUGGAGACAUUCAUACUAUAUUAGAAACAGCCACAGUAAUUGCCAGGUUUGGGCUGUUUUUGUCCCUGGAAACAUACAGGAGCAGGCUAUUGCUGGUUCACCUGGGGGCCCUGCCCUCUCAGACACACUGGAGUCUCGUAUGGGAGGACCACUUGGACUGAAUGUCAGCUCUGUGUUUGGGUAUUUUAGACACCUGACAAGGUUUUAGCCUUAACUCAAGCACUGAGUGAGGUGAUUUAUCUCCUGGCUUUUGACUUGUUCCCUUUGUAUUCACUAUGUAUUAUAGUGUCAAGUACUGUUGGUUGUACAUCUCCUGGACUUAAGCAGGCAUUGCAUACAGCUUACACACAGUGCUUGGAGAUCAAAGGUCAGUCGGUUGUUACUAAGCUGUUCCACCCUUAACAGCAUUUCCCAAAAUGUCUACAGAAGCUCUUUAUGGAAACUUACCUCAAUAAUGUCAAUUCUAUGGGACAUUCUUUUCACUUUAGAUGCUAAUCGUUGAUCUUUUAGGUCCUGGCUAAGCUUUAGGGCCAAUAUACCCCUCUUGACUGCCCAUUGAGACCAUUUGCUGCUGAGUUUCUGCUAUUUGGUUUAGCUCCUGGCCUCCUAGACACCUGAAAAGACCCAUGAUGGCCCCCUGCAGCCUUGAUGGGAGAGUCUUAUUAGAAGCUUUCUUAGGUGGUUCAGAAGGAAAAAACAAAGGGAAAACCUCAGUCCCACUGGGUUCCCUGAAUUUAAAUUGUGUCACCUGACUAGUUCUCCUGACUUAACAAAGGGACAACCAGGCUCUUGGGGAGAAAUCUCAGGGCAGAAAUGUUACCUGUUUGCCAGGCCUUUCUGGCUAGGCCAAGAGGGAGCCAUUCCAUCAAGCCUCUAAGGAGGCUGGCUCUGCUAUGUUCUCACUAAUGCUUGUGGACUCUAGAGAUCCAUCUUGGCACCUCAGCUUUGAAGCAGGCUGUGAGACCAGGACCUCCUGGUGCAAAAUAAAGCAACUCUUAUGUUGAGCAGCAGGGGAGACGAAGGCCUCACCUGCGGGAAGCACACUGGUGGAGCCAGCAAGUGAGCAAGAACCUGGGAGUAUCUGACUUUGGGGUAAAGUGCUAGACGCUUCACAGACAGCUGGAAAUCCACCUUUCCUAAAUUCAAGGUCAUGUGGUAUAUUGGAAGAGAAAGGGAUAGAACAUUAACACCCUGAGUGCUGGACAGGGGCUUGUAUGCUAAACUCUGAAUCCUGUUCCUGACCAGACUCUGGCCGUAAGGACGCUAUACUUUGCCUGGUGCUGAAAUGUCCUAGUGUAGGGAUAUGGGAAUUUCCUUCAAGCCCGCUACAGAUUUCUAGGCAAUUCAGCUUCCUAUUAAUGUACGUUUUCUGCCUUCAUGCAGGAAUACAGAUAAAACCUACAGAAACAGUAAAAGUGCUGGCUUCAGGCACAGGUGGAUUUGUACUGUUCACAUUUCAUCCCAGGUUUGUAAGCAUCACAGGUUAUGGGGCAGCUUCUUCAGAGUUGGAGGACUGGGGUCAUUUCCUCUGAAUACUUUAAAUGGCUUUAUUACCUAGCAGGCAAUUUGAUGUGAUGUCAUCUCACUCUUGAGAUCAUUCAUGGAACUUGCUUUUCAGUUGGGCAGCAACAGCUAGCUACUCUGGUGUUGUGGUGGUAUUAUAAUACCUCAUCAAGGAUUUUCUUAUGACACCUCCUUUAGGAAGGAAAAGGCUAACUCAGUUGAUAGAAGUAUAGUUGUGCUGUGGUCAUGUUAGGCAGAAACACCAGACACAUGAGCUGUUGGGAGACAUCUUGGUGAGGCUCAGUACUGCAGUCUGUUCACUUUGUAAACCUGCUUUCUGCUCUCCUGACUCAGAAAUGUUCAGCUUCAAAAUGCAAGAAGCACCAUCAAAUGCUGCUUCUCAGCGGGAACUUGCUCCACAGGAAGGUCCAGUGGAAUUUGCAGCUGGAAUCACAUUUACUGGUUUGUGACCAAAUUUACUGGUUUUCAAUCUUUUCCCAUCAGGCAGUUACUGGUAGCCGCUUUGGAUUCUUGUGGAUGUGCCUCAGCUUCUUGGCACAUUACAAAGGGCCCAACAGGUAAAAUACUUGAAACUUCUCAGUGGCCAAGACCUCAGAUACCCUCUCUGAUGGGUGGGAACUGGGCUAUUUUCCUGACCAGUCUAGGCCACCAUUUUAGUCCCCAGUCACAUCCCUUACUUCAAACUGAAAUUCAGUUUGGCUUUGAGUAUAGGCACAUAUGAUGGAUUCACCUACUUCAGUGUUUUGACCAAAAGUUUAUUUUUCUAGUGCAUUUUUCUAAGUGGUGAAAAUAUGUAAUUUUAGUAUGCAUGACUGGGUCUCCAAAAUAAAAACCCCUGGAAAGCGGA
Molecule: RNA transcript, 4878 nt
Organism: Mus musculus (house mouse)
Lineage: Eukaryota; Metazoa; Chordata; Mammalia; Rodentia; Muridae
Gene: Ttpal
Gene name: tocopherol (alpha) transfer protein-like
Exons: 6
Source: RefSeq, marked validated